Pundamilia nyererei is the source of this 520-nucleotide non-coding RNA. Lineage: Eukaryota; Metazoa; Chordata; Actinopteri; Cichliformes; Cichlidae. The record is from the annotation of a RefSeq genome assembly.
GCUUCGUUUCUGUCCAACAGGAUGAUUCUGGUGCCGGUGCUGCUCCUCUGCGUCUUCACUGAUGUGAGCUGUGAGGAGCUCAGUCCAGUCCACAGUGAGCACAAUCAGCUCUCUGUGGAAGGCAACACCGUGUCUCUGUCCUACAACUACCCCAAACUCGUAACUACAGAUUAUUUCUUCUGGUAUCGGCAACAUCCAGGAAAACCACCUCAGUUUCUCAUCUCACACUCAGCAUCAGGAUCUGUGCUAAAUGAUCCAGUCCCGGGACUGAAGGUCCAAGUGGAGGAAAAACUGAUCCAGAUGAACAUCUCCUCUGCCACAGUGGCAGAUUCUGCUGUUUACUUCUGCGCCGUGAAGCCCACAGUGACAGGAAACCCCGAGUCCCUGUACAAAAACCCAUCAUCUCAGCAAAGAGCGCUCACACUUCAGCUCCUCGGUUCUCUUAGACAACACCGCCAUCAAGUGGAUUCUUCCAGCUUUGCAUGAUGCUGGAAGAAAACGCUGAUGAUGCUUAAAUACA